Molecule: ribosomal RNA, 468 nt
Filed under: uncultured bacterium
Lineage: Bacteria
Description: partial 16S ribosomal RNA
Rfam family: Bacterial small subunit ribosomal RNA
Source: RNAcentral
GACGAACGCUGGCGGCGUGCUUAACACAUGCAAGUCGAACGGAAAGGCCCUGCUUUUGUGGGGUGCUCGAGUGGCGAACGGGUGAGUAACACGUGAGUAACCUGCCCUUGACUUUGGGAUAACUUCAGGAAACUGGGGCUAAUACCGGAUAGGAGCUCCUGCUGCAUGGUGGGGGUUGGAAAGUUUCGGCGGUUGGGGAUAGACUCGCGGCUUAUCAGCUUGUUGGUGGGGUAGUGGCUUACCAAGGCUUUGACGGGUAGCCGGCCUGAGAGGGUGACCGGCCACAUUGGGACUGAGAUACGGCCCAGACUCCUACGGGAGGCAGCAGUGGGGAAUAUUGCACAAUGGGAGGAAGCCUGAUGCAGCAACGCCGCGUGCGGGAUGACGGCCUUCGGGUUGUAAACCGCUUUAGCCUGUGACGAAGCGUGAGUGAAGGUAAUGGGUAAAGAAGCACCGGCUAACUACGUG